Long non-coding RNA from Strongylocentrotus purpuratus (purple sea urchin), 713 nucleotides. RefSeq lists it as uncharacterized. NCBI's taxonomy places the organism in Eukaryota, Metazoa, Echinodermata, Echinoidea, Camarodonta, Strongylocentrotidae. The record is from RefSeq and is a predicted model, not a curated record. The transcript is spliced from 3 exons.
ACACCUUGAUUUCCAUUUAUUCUUUAAUAAUGAAAAUUUAGUGUAAGUUUCGUUGAUUCUGUGAGAUUUUUUUUUUUUAAACCAGAACUCAAGUUCAUCUUUAAGAAUAUUUUAGAAGUCUGUCUGGUAUUAUCUUCUUCUCCACCACCAAUAGACAAAUUAAAUCCUCUAUAAGAAGAUCACUGAAACAGCACGUUUAUUUUUGUUUUCAGCAUGCUGUUGUCAUGGUAAUCUGAGUUGCUACGGGUCAUUCCCAACAUGCCCAUCACUGGGGCUGGCCAAUGGAGUUUCAGUUAAACUAGUUCAAAAGAUCGUAAACACCUCUGGAUAUCUAGGGGUUUCGACAAACCUUCCAGGAUUGGCGAGUUUCUGUAGAAUUCCUGAUUGUAUCAGCAACCCUUGCGUGCACGGUGAUUGCAUUGAGACCAACUUUGACUACCUAUGUCGUUGUCCGAGCAAUUACAAAGGCAAAAAAUGCGACCAACCAACAGGAGAACCGGUCAUGUUUGUUUCAGAUGCAGACAAAAGGAUUUUCGUGUCAGCUCUCCCAGACCUCAAUUUCACCGAAUUCAUGAGUCUGGAGAUUAAACUAAAGAAUUUCCAUUUUGAUUACUCAACUCAAACACUGUACUGGACCGACAAUAAUGGCACUGAUAUUUGGCGAACAGACCUCAUCCGAAAAACGCCAGAAGCUGUUCCGAAUGUACCCCAAG